UUGAGGGAUUGAGAUAUUUGGGGACUUGGUGAUGGACCCCAUAGUAGAUGUGAAUUAUAUUUUAGAAUAUUUAAAUAUUGAAUGAUUUAGUUUGUGAUUUGUAAUUGAUGUUGUAGGGGAGGAGUCAGCGGUGCCAGGAGAUUUUGAUCAGGGGACUCAGCACCCCAGCACGUAGGUUGUGAUUCGGAUCCGUGUUUGAGUCAGUCUACAAAUUUCUGUAAGAAUCCCUACAUCUGAGCACUUUUAUUUAUACAUAUAUUGGAUUUAUCGUUGGAUAUAUUUUAUCAGUAUGUUGCUAUUUGUUUUUGAGCUUGUAUGACACUAUGAGGUGUGCAUUUUGUUUAUUAUGAAAGUAUUGGAAUAAUUAAAUUGGGAAGGAAUAACAUAUUUUUGAGAAAUUAUGAAAAUAUGUGACGUGAUUGAAAUGUGAUUAAACAUGUAAAACUAGACAUGUAAAAUGGGUUGGACUAACCUUGUCAUGAGAUAGCCUUUACGAGCUUAUGCGUAGGAUAGCUGCCACGAGCUUAUGCGUGGGAUAGCCUCUACGAGCUUAUGCGUAGGAUAGCCUCCACGGGCUUACGCGUGGGAUAGCUG
RNAcentral lists this long non-coding RNA (594 nucleotides) under Phoenix dactylifera (date palm). RNAcentral describes it as "long non-coding RNA (PDAC_LNC010120)". The record is from RNAcentral. Lineage: Eukaryota; Viridiplantae; Streptophyta; Magnoliopsida; Arecales; Arecaceae.